Molecule: ribosomal RNA, 301 nt
Filed under: uncultured bacterium
Lineage: Bacteria
Description: partial 16S ribosomal RNA
Rfam family: Bacterial small subunit ribosomal RNA
Source: RNAcentral
CAGCCGCCGCGGUAAUACGUAGGGUGCGAGCGUUAAUCGGAAUUACUGGGCGUAAAGCGUGCGCAGGCGGUUGUGUAAGACAGGUGUGAAAUCCCCGGGCUUAACCUGGGAACUGCGCUUGUGACUGCACAGCUAGAGUAUGGCAGAGGGGGGUGGAAUUCCACGUGUAGCAGUGAAAUGCGUAGAGAUGUGGAGGAACACCGAUGGCGAAGGCAGCCCCCUGGGCCAAUACUGACGCUCAUGCACGAAAGCGUGGGGAGCAAACAGGAUUAGAUACCCGCGUAGUCCAUGUCUCUUAUAC